GAGUAAUGUCUGGGAAACUGCCUGAUGGAGGGGGAUAACUACUGGAAACGGUGGCUAAUACCGCAUAACGUCGCAAGACCAAAGAGGGGGACCUUCGGGCCUCUUGCCAUCAGAUGUGCCCAGAUGGGAUUAGCUUGUUGGUGAGGUAACGGCUCACCAAGGCGACGAUCCCUAGCUGGUCUGAGAGGAUGACCAGCCACACUGGAACUGAGACACGGUCCAGACUCCUACGGGAGGCAGCAGUGGGGAAUAUUGCACAAUGGGCGCAAGCCUGAUGCAGCCAUGCCGCGUGUAUGAAGAAGGCCUUCGGGUUGUAAAGUACUUUCAGCGGGGAGGAAGGUGUUGUGGUUAAUAACCGCAGCAAUUGACGUUACCCGCAGAAGAAGCACCGGCUAACUCCGUGCCAGCAGCCGCGGUAAUACGGAGGGUGCAAGCGUUAAUCGGAAUUACUGGGCGUAAAGCGCACGCAGGCGGUCUGUCAAGUCGGAUGUGAAAUCCCCGGGCUCAACCUGGGAACUGCAUUCGAAACUGGCAGGCUUGAGUCUUGUAGAGGGGGGUAGAAUUCCAGGUGUAGCGGUGAAAUGCGUAGAGAUCUGGAGGAAUACCGGUGGCGAAGGCGGCCCCCUGGACAAAGACUGACGCUCAGGUGCGAAAGCGUGGGGAGCAAACAGGAUUAGAUACCCUGGUAGUCCACGCCGUAAACGAUGUCUACUUGGAGGUUGUGCCCUUGAGGCGUGGCUUCCGGAGCUAACGCGUUAAGUAGACCGCCUGGGGAGUACGGCCGCAAGGUUAAAACUCAAAUGAAUUGACGGGGGCCCGCACAAGCGGUGGAGCAUGUGGUUUAAUUCGAUGCAACGCGAAGAACCUUACCUGGUCUUGACAUCCACAGAACUUUCCAGAGAUGGAUUGGUGCCUUCGGGAACUGUGAGACAGGUGCUGCAUGGCUGUCGUCAGCUCGUGUUGUGAAAUGUUGGGUUAAGUCCCGCAACGAGCGCAACCCUUAUCCUUUGUUGCCAGCGGUCCGG
Molecule: ribosomal RNA, 1025 nt
Filed under: Salmonella enterica
Lineage: Bacteria; Pseudomonadati; Pseudomonadota; Gammaproteobacteria; Enterobacterales; Enterobacteriaceae
Also listed under: 2 other names
Description: bacterial SSU rRNA
Rfam family: Bacterial small subunit ribosomal RNA
Source: RNAcentral